Acinonyx jubatus (cheetah) is the source of this 3048-nucleotide long non-coding RNA. RefSeq lists it as uncharacterized. The record is from RefSeq and is a predicted model, not a curated record. Lineage: Eukaryota; Metazoa; Chordata; Mammalia; Carnivora; Felidae. The transcript is spliced from 2 exons.
AACUCAUGCCAAGUGCCAAAUCGAAGUCAGGUGCUGUGGGAAGUGGGAGGAGGGAGGAGAGAGCUGACUGGGCUCCCAGGUGGUCAAGGAGAUUCCUAGGGUAGGUGGAAUCCCAGUAGGGUUGGAAGAUUUCAGAGAGAAAUGGGAAAGGCACUAGAGCUGGGCCCUAAUCAUACCCAUUUAGGGGCCCCCAUGCUUAGCAGAGAGCCUGCCUCUAGCAGGGGAUGAUAUGUGCUUGCGGAGUGAAUAAAUGUUGGAUCCAAUGAAAAUAGAGGACACAUGGCUGAGAGGCAAGGUGUGGCUGAGGGACUGUGGAGUAUGGGGGUGGCUGGCCACUGAGCCUCUAACAGCCCACCAAGUGCAGUUCAGUUGACUGUGACCCCACCAACCAGACUGACAUUCUUCAGUUUUCAGCUUUCCAUUUUUUCCAGGACCAAACACAUCCUGGGAAACAUCUGCUGGAGCAGUGAGUAGACGGUGUAAGGGAGCAGCCGGAGGAAACGUGGGAGAAAUCUGCUAGGAGCAGACGGAGGAAGCCUUGAGUUCCAGGCCAAAAAGUUUAGCCUUUUCCUCUGGGCAAGUCGUGGCCAUUGGGAUCUCUGAACAUUCAAAUAGCAGGAGUCUCUAGUUUUCCUACAACGAACAUGUACUACCUUUGUAAUAAGCAAGAAACCCAAUAAAAUUUAUUGGAUAAAAGAAUAAACAGCUGGAAAUCAUUCUCUCCUGAGGAAUUAGCAUCUUGUCUGACGACAAGGGCUACAGUGGCUUUGCUGGAACCUUCCAUCUAUCUCUCAGGAUCUGCUCUCAGCCAACGGGGAGACGAUGCAGGUGAUCAGGGGAGGAGAGGGAGCAUGAGGCCAGGAUGUGCAUUCACUGGGCUCCCUCUUUGUGAGGUCACGUGGAGAGAUGGCCACUUUCAAGGUGUCUGAGUCUAUACACCCUCCUGUUUGCUGGGAGCUGGUGACCUUCCCGUCCAGGAGAGGAGAGAGAGAAAGCGAGGUUCCCCAGCUCUCCCAGUGCUGUCUCUGUACUCCACUGACAGCUUUGCCACUAGUCCUUUUUUAAAAAAACUCUCCUCACAUCACCAGAAUUGAGUACGGCAUCUGUUUCCGGUUCAGACUCUGACCGAUACACUUAUCCUAUCUGCUUUUUCUUCUUCUCCUCGGUCCUAAUCCCUAAAAUAAAAUGACUCUCCCGUUGACUUGUCCAAGUUGACUUUCUCUCCGGACAUCUGGUCUUGCCCACAAGACAUCUUCAUUUGGACAACCGGGAAACUCAUAACACCCAUGCCCAUAACAGGACUUUGACUUUGAUUCCCAAACCGAAUUCUCUCUUCUUUUCCCUUUUACCCCCCCCCCACCCACCCACUCCAAACCUCGAAUCAUCGUUAUCUGCACCUCUUUAAUUUGUCAUAUCCUUUCAGUGCCCAAAGCCUGUGAAGUCUACCUCAGCAAUGUCUUUUUCAAACAGCCCCAUUCAUGCCAUUUCUCCAGUUCCCUCCCUCAUCCAGGUCUCCUGUGGGCUCCCCUUGCCUCCAGUCUCUCCACACCUCCUCUCUUGAGUCUGUGUUAUGUGUGACUUCUGGCAAAGGGUCCUUGAAACACAGUUCUGGUCCUCCCUACUCCACUCAAAAACCCAAGGCCAACUCAGCCAAACCUACGCACCUCAGUUUAUCUCUUCCAUAAAGACCUUCAAACACACGGAAACACUGGGUCUUUACAUCCCCAAGGCUUUGCCCAUGCUGGGUCUUCUGCUGGAUCACCAUUCCUCCGCCUUUCCAAGUGUCCUCAGAAGCUAUUCAACAAAGCUUAUGCACACAAUCCCAACCCUGGUUUUCUUUCCCAUGAGUAACCCAUCCCAAAGUCCUAAUUUAGUUGCACUUCUUUCUAGGAAGUGGUUAUUUUCCACUUGGUAUUUGGGUGAGUGUCUUGGUUAAGAUGGUUGGUGAGGCUGGUGACACUUAUUAUUUGUCUCUGGAUCCCAUGGGCUCAGCCAAAGGUCUUGGUCUAAGUAGGUGCAAAGUCUCUGUGGUUACUGAACGAAUGGACCUUCUUGCUCUACAAUGUAAAGCCAUCGUCUGAGUGAGGAAGGAGGGAGCUUACCCAAGAGGGGACUACAGAGUCAGCCUCUGGUGCCGACCUCUGCAAACCACAGCCAGUCUCCAGGAGGGUGCAGAGACCUGAGGAGGGGCUGAGGGUGCCACAGCAGAUGAGGUGCUGUGGGCUGUGACUUCAUCAGACACAGGGACAGUGACCAGAGAGGUGGAGGAACUCAGUCCAUUGGAGAAAACAAGUAAAUGGCCAAAAUCCCCUCCCUGCCCAAUGCCAUCCACCUGCAUGACCACCCCUCAACUUGGGUGCUUAGAUGCAACUUAGAUGCAACAUUGGAAGAAAGGAAACAGAGCUCUGGAUUUGAAUGUAAUUCUGAAAUAACUGAAUUUACCUGAAAAUGCCAAAGCUGAGUUUUGUGCUUCAAGCAGAAACAGGGCUCCAAGUUAGAAUUGCACGGAGUUACAGAAGUCAGCAUCUUUCAUAUCUGAGUUGUGGGAUCUAUUGUAUAUAAAGCCGUGUGCUUAUAAUGUGCCUGGUGCUCAAUAUUCGUAACCUCACUUAACGAGGGAGACCAUGCAAUUUAUUGUUUUAACUGAGACGAUUCUGGGACUGAAGGGGGUGCUGUUACUAUCGUGUUGGGAUGCAGGCUUGAGAGGACCACAGCUCAUGGCUAUCCUACAGCUAAGCCUUUCAACAUACAUAUGACGAAGUAACACUUGUUGCCCAUUUACAGAUGGAGGAAACAAUGCCUAAGAUGAUUGAGCCAUGAGUCCAGAACAGACGAGGAGCCACAACCCAAGCCCAGCUGAUCAUUUGCCAAACCCCACAGGCUUGCAUUUUGCACAGGACCUUAUGCUGGCUCUGCCCAGUUGUCCUAUCGCCACCUUCCCCACCCGCUCUCUUCUCUCUUCUCUGCCAACGAAAAUAUAAUGAGGCCAUAUAUGUAAUUUUACAUUUUCUAGUAGCCACAUUAAAAAGCAAGUGAAAACAGGUGAAA